CGCACAUUGCGCCCUUUGGCAUUCCGAAGGGCAUGCCCGUUCGAGCGUCAUUAACCCCCAUCAAGUCUGACUUGGUAUUGGGCGUCGGGGUGUUCCCGUGCCCUAAUGUCACCGGCUGGCCGUCGCCUGUUUUAGCGUUGUGACACAUUUUCGCUAGGGAGAGACGACGGUGCGCGCCGUUAAAUCGCACAAGUUCUUAAUCGAAUUUGAACAAGGUUGACCUCGGAUCGGGUAGGAAUACCCGCUGAACUUAA
RNAcentral lists this unclassified non-coding RNA (254 nucleotides) under fungal sp. RNAcentral's name for it is "partial contains 5.8S ribosomal RNA, internal transcribed spacer 2, and large subunit ribosomal RNA". Lineage: Eukaryota; Fungi. The record is from RNAcentral.